RNAcentral lists this ribosomal RNA (157 nucleotides) under Gigaspora margarita. RNAcentral's name for it is "5.8S ribosomal RNA". It matches the Rfam family "5.8S ribosomal RNA". From Rfam's summary of the family: 5.8S ribosomal RNA (5.8S rRNA) is a component of the large subunit of the eukaryotic ribosome. It is transcribed by RNA polymerase I as part of the 45S precursor that also contains 18S and 28S rRNA. Lineage: Eukaryota; Fungi; Glomeromycota; Glomeromycetes; Diversisporales; Gigasporaceae. The record is from RNAcentral.
AAACUUUCAACAAUGGAUCUCUUGGCUCUCGCAUCGAUGAAGAACGCAGCGAAAUGCGAUAAGUAAUAUGAAUUGCAGAAUUCCGUGAGUCAUCAAAUCUUUGAACGCAAAUUGCACUUCUUGGUAUUCCGAGGAGUACACAUGCUUGAGGGUCAGU